AUUGAACGCUGGCGGCGGGCCUAACACAUGCAAGUCGAGCGGAUGAAGGGAGCUUGCUCCUGGAUUCAGCGGCGGACGGGUGAGUAAUGCCUAGGAAUCUGCCUGGUAGUGGGGGAUAACGUCCGGAAACGGGCGCUAAUACCGCAUACGUCCUGAGGGAGAAAGUGGGGGAUCUUCGGACCUCACGCUAUCAGAUGAGCCUAGGUCGGAUUAGCUAGUUGGUGGGGUAAAGGCCUACCAAGGCGACGAUCCGUAACUGGUCUGAGAGGAUAUCAGUCACACUGGAACUGAGACACGGUCCAGACUCCUACGGGAGGCAGCAGUGGGGAAUAUUGGACAAUGGGCGAAAGCCUGAUCCAGCCAUGCCGCGUGUGUGAAGAAGGUCUUCGGAUUGUAAAGCACUUUAAGUUGGGAGGAAGGGCAGUAAGUUAAUACCUUGCUGUUUUGACGUUACCAACAGAAUAAGCACCGGCUAACUUCGUG
Molecule: ribosomal RNA, 483 nt
Filed under: uncultured bacterium
Lineage: Bacteria
Description: partial 16S ribosomal RNA
Rfam family: Bacterial small subunit ribosomal RNA
Source: RNAcentral